AUUUUGAAAUUACUUUUUGAUUAUAAUUGAAAUCUACUAGUCUGCAGCGUUGAACCAUUUUGGUGUUUGGACUUCUUUUCUGGAUCUUAUAUAUUUUUGGCAAGUGCCCUAAAUUUUUUAGCAAAACCGAGAAGAGAGGGAAAAGAAAGAGGGUUAAAAAAUUAGCUAACCUAUCCACUAGAGCCCAAAAUUGUAGAAUUUGGUUGCUAAUUGUGUAGCACCUGACACUAGCAUAUACUAAGCUAUCCACUGUUAAAUGAUUUCAGAUCCAUCAUCUGUAUUUAAUCAUGAGAUUAUCUUCCAUAAAUUGACGUAAAAUAUAUGAUAUUUAUCUGUUACUCAUAGUAGUUGAAUAAAUUUCCAAUAAGCUACGAAAUCAAUGUGGUAGGGCAAUGUGAAAUUUAAGUUUGUUGUUAAAGGAAAAUGAUUGUUAUGGACAUAACACUUGCAUUUAAGUGGUGUCUUAAUCAUUCAAUAAUGGAUUAUUGAUUCUUAGGCAUAUUCCCACCAAUGGAGGACUAAAUUUGUGGAUCAAACCAGUAUGAAUCUUUGUUUAGUUAGCUGGACCAAAAAUGUAAAGCAAGCUAAUUUGUGAUAGAUUGAAGGUGGUUGUUGGUGUCUUAAUCAUUUACUUAUGGAUUACUGAUUCUUAGGAGUGUUCCUAUCAAUGGGCUCAUUUUGUGGGCAAAAUUGCCAUAAAUAUUUGGUCUAGCUGGACAAAAAAAUCUGAAGCAAACUAGUUUGUGAUAGAUUGCUGGCUGUUGGGAUCUUUUAUUAGCCUUUUUCAAGGCAAAUCCAGAAUAUACUGUAACUGAAUGUUGAACAUCCCAUACAUGCCAUCCGAUCGCAUGAAAACAAAUUGUGAAUGUCGAAUUUGUUGUAGUGUCUGGAUUAUAAGAAAAUGAACUGAUUCUUUUAUUUAUUUAUUUAUUAGGUAAUUGAAUUAGAUAUACCAAAAAUUAGAGUAUAAAAUAUGAGGCUCAAUGUACUCGCAAAGAGGACAAAAAAGAUGAUUGAGCAAGCCAUCAAAACAGAGCAUUCAAUUUAAGGUUUAGAGAAGCAAUGUGGAGAUGUAACCCGAUUACAUGUGGAGGUAACAGUAAAAAAAAUUUGUUGAGUGAAAACUUGGUUUAUAUAAGGUGUGAUCAAUGCCUUGUUUGUAAAAAAAAAUAACAUUUCAAACUAUAUAUACAUGUGGAAGAUUAGGUGUUUUCGUUAUUGAACUCUGAUUCAUAAUAAUAAUGUAUUGAGAAUCAAUGGCAGGUAGCUAUUACUUUUUAUUCUAGUAGAUGUUUUAGGUAUUUUCAAUUGGAGAAAGACGAGUUAAGGACUUGGAAGACUUGGCUUCAUAUCGUCCUCAGUAUCACAACCAAGGUCUCUUGCAGACAUGUCGAUGAAUGUUACAGGAUGAUAGAGGAGAUGGUUCAAAUGAUGAGUAUGAGCCCAAUGGUGGCAGUGACGAUGAUGAUGGUGAUGGCUAGUUUUUGAGGACUUUGAUGAAUAGAUUUCUAUAAUCUUUGAAUAGUUCUGGAUUUUAUUUACAAACUUAUAUAUGAUACAAUUUUGGAUGGUUUAUAACUUUUUGGAUAAUUAAGAACUUAAGGAUAGUCCUUUUGGAUGAUUUUGAACUUAUGAUUAGUUUUUGGAUGUUUGGAAUGUAUUGACAAUUUUUGAAUAUUCAUAAUUUACGGAUGUAGUUUAUUUUUUAUGCUUGAAAUAAUAAUUUGGUGGUUGAUUGA
Camellia sinensis is the source of this 1739-nucleotide non-coding RNA. The record is from RefSeq and is a predicted model, not a curated record. NCBI's taxonomy places the organism in Eukaryota, Viridiplantae, Streptophyta, Magnoliopsida, Ericales, Theaceae.